UAAACCUGGAUGGAUUUGUUGGUAGUGCAGCGACUGACAGUAUCCAAAAUCUCUCAUAAGAAAUAGCCUCAUAAUAAAUUCUGGUUGAGAGCCAACUAAUGAGUUAAUAACCAUUUAACUUGCUCGUCUAAUGUUUCUUUUUGCAGUGACGAGAGGGUUGGCUGUGCUGAGGGAGAGUUGUACUGAGGGACGUGGAAUGUUGCUCUUUCUCUGGAAGGUUUGAUGUAGCCUUCCUGACAAGUACCAGGGCCCAUCAUAACUAAUGCAGCUGUGAGCUAUGCCUCAAAGCCUGCUUCCAUUGCACCACCUUUUCCUCAUGGCUGAUCUGUCUUGUGAAUUGUAUUCCCCUUUGGACUCUCAAUUCAGAGGUAGAAGAUAUUUCAGCCUUAUGCAUAGCUUGAAACCUGUCUGCUCUGGCAAACGAUACCAUUAAACGCUAAAGAACAUUUCAAUGUGUAAUGGUAUUUGAUGGCAUUGUUUGCAAUAACAUCUCCAGAUUUCACCAAGUCUUAAAGUAGGUGAGGACUUCUACAUGACUGUUACCAAGUAGGUAACUGGGAUGCACCUUAAAUAUCUAGUUUUGUUCUGACAAGUCCAAUUACGUGGGAGGGGAAACUUUUUUCUUUGAUCAGUGGUCCAGCUCUAGUGCCCAAACAAGUUUCCUGGACAUAAAAGAAUUUAUAUUAGUCUAAGAAAAUAUCUCUUCACCUGGGAGGUCACACGGGAAUGGUAUUUCAAAUAGAUAGUCAUGUCAAACAAUUUUUCUUUUUUUACCUAAGGAAUUGAAGUUAUAUUUUGUCAGUGGUGUAAAAAAGGGC
RNAcentral lists this long non-coding RNA (818 nucleotides) under Gallus gallus (chicken). The record is from RNAcentral. Lineage: Eukaryota; Metazoa; Chordata; Aves; Galliformes; Phasianidae.